CCGUUCAGGAAGGCUUGUCCAGGCUUCCCAGUCCUUGCCCAGUGUUUCUGAAAGUGAAGGUCUUUCCCAUCUGAUUCGGGUGGGAAACAGCUAAGACGCAGGUUCCCAAGCCCCUCAGACCCGCUGAACCAGUUUCUCCCUGAGCCCUGGAAUCUGCAUUUUAGCACGUGGGGGUGGGUUAGGAAGGUCUCUGAAGGCGGAGAAACAGCUCCCAGGAGGUGGGGUGGUCCCAAGGAGGGCAGACAGGAGAAAGCAAAGUGAGAAAAAUUAGAUCCUGGUGGAAGCCACGGGCAGGACUCUUGCGUGGACAGGGUGAUGCCGCAGAUGGGGGCGGAGAAGGACGCAGGAGACAGACGGGGCGGGGCCGCGGCGAGGGUCGCGCCCGAGGGUUGUGUCCCAGGCCAGAAAGAAGCAGGAGUGGAAUAAAUGAGGUGUCGCUUCCUGGACGGCCCCUUGCCCUCAAAGAUGGUGCCUCCCUUGAUAUCUCCAGAGACGCCAGACAAGAAAGUUCAAGAGGCGCGCCUUAGCAUUUUUCCCAAAGCCUCCUGCCUUGAUCAUAGGUAGGAAGAAGGGCCAACCUCCCUGCCGGAUGUACCGCAAACCCUGAGAAGUGGCGGGGGAGGAGCUGAGCGCAGGACCUCCACCCGCUCCAGGGCACGGCAGAGAACAGGGAGCUGAGACAGGCAGCUGGGGGUGGACAGGCUGGCACCUUAAGUGCCCU
Long non-coding RNA from Capra hircus (goat), 721 nucleotides. RefSeq lists it as uncharacterized. The transcript is spliced from 3 exons. The record is from RefSeq and is a predicted model, not a curated record. NCBI's taxonomy places the organism in Eukaryota, Metazoa, Chordata, Mammalia, Artiodactyla, Bovidae.